GACGAGGAGGACGAGGAUUUGUGCUCGUAUUUUACAACAGUGAUACCUUAUCACAUGGACAGUGGCCCACCUGAUAAUCAAGCUUUACAAGUCCUCAUUAAGAUAUUAAAGGCUAUUAAUGAGGAUAGUCCAACGGUGCCCACAUUAUCAACGGACUACAUAUUGAAAGAUCUGUGCCCCACCUAGUGAUCCACUAGUACAUAUCCUCCGACGUGACAUCGCUCCGCUACGUAUGCAGAAGAAAAGAUUUAUUAAGAUGCAGAUUGCUCCUCUCUUCUUGCCAUUGUGCUUUCAGCCAUUGUUGUGCUGUGUGUUUAAAAUUUAGGACAGUAUAUAAGAUAGAAUAACAUGUACAUCUACGAAUAUAGCACUGCAAUAAAUCUUAUAUAAAUGAGCUCUCAUUGAGAUUUCUCUGUAUUUAUAACUCGACGCGAGAAGGCAAAAAUCAAUGUAAUGCCAUCUGUAAGGUAAUUGGACUCGUAUUUGCACUACGAGAACUCUUUGGGCAUUUUGCG
RNAcentral lists this long non-coding RNA (515 nucleotides) under Neodiprion pinetum (white pine sawfly). RNAcentral's name for it is "uncharacterized LOC124221122, transcript variant X3". The record is from RNAcentral. Lineage: Eukaryota; Metazoa; Arthropoda; Insecta; Hymenoptera; Diprionidae.